AGUUGAAGGGGUUGGAUCUUCAAGACCAUCAAAUUUCUUUUGUCUCACUUGUUACCUCUGCUCUUUCUCUAGUUUGCUUACCAUUGUAACCAACGGCAGAGGGACCGGCUCUUUGCUGAAGCAUUCUUCGACAAUCUGAUUGGAAGGGAUUCUCAAGGAGCAUCCAUGAAGACGAAUCAACACUCCGAACACUAUCAAUUGAUUUACAAGGAGACCCUGUUGAUAUAGAAAAGGCAAUGAACACAAAAUUUGGUCGGAGAUCGAGUAACCAUACCUAUAGGCUGCACAAACAAUUCAUGGAGCUGAAGGAAGCUAAAGAGGAGGA
This is a non-coding RNA of Camellia sinensis, 325 nucleotides long. Lineage: Eukaryota; Viridiplantae; Streptophyta; Magnoliopsida; Ericales; Theaceae. The record is from RefSeq and is a predicted model, not a curated record.